CCGUGGUGAUGGUGAAAACUGUGAACCAUUUUUUAUGCUGAUCCUUGCAACAGUAUGUCUACCAUGUUAAAUAUAGUGCCUUGGUGUUGUCGCAAUUCUCCGAGGAAAAUCAAUAAGAACAGGUAGCUUGAGCCUCCAUUAAGAACCACAAUAUGUGAUUUUACUACUAUAAUGACAGACUCGAUAAAGUUAAAACGUUAAGAUGAUUUCUUAAAAUCAAAUUUUAAAAUCCAUCUGAAGCUUGACUUUUGAUGGUGGCAGCAGUCGGAACACAUUGUUU
Molecule: long non-coding RNA, 280 nt
Filed under: Mytilus galloprovincialis (Mediterranean mussel)
Lineage: Eukaryota; Metazoa; Mollusca; Bivalvia; Mytilida; Mytilidae
Source: RNAcentral